Molecule: transfer RNA, 104 nt
Filed under: Ustilago trichophora
Lineage: Eukaryota; Fungi; Basidiomycota; Ustilaginomycetes; Ustilaginales; Ustilaginaceae
Rfam family: tRNA
About the family: Transfer RNA (tRNA) molecules are approximately 80 nucleotides in length. Their secondary structure includes four short double-helical elements and three loops (D, anti-codon, and T loops).
Source: Rfam by way of RNAcentral
GCAGUCUUAGUAUAGUGGUUAGUACAGCUCGUUGUGGCUUCAGGUCCCUUGAGUUAGCAAGGCUUUGCGCCGAGCAGACGGAUGUUCGAUUCCUCCAGACUGCA